AUGCCUUGAUAUGUCUGAUUUCAUCUAUGUUGAUGGCCACUAGGACUUCCCCUACCUUUCGGUGGAAGAUUCUUCAGCCAUCAUAAAAGUAUCAAAAAACAAGAAGAACAUAGGAAGACAACUCACAUGAUGCCCCCCCCCCAAA
This 145-nucleotide long non-coding RNA is filed under the name Mustela putorius furo (domestic ferret). Its description in RNAcentral is "lncRNA (ENSMPUG00000029767.1)". The record is from RNAcentral. Lineage: Eukaryota; Metazoa; Chordata; Mammalia; Carnivora; Mustelidae.